CCGGUCCAGUCCGAUCCACCCAUUUGGUCACAUACAGAUAAAUGGAUCGCUUGACUUUGUUAUCUGUGAUGGAACUAGCACAUUACACAGGUUUCCCAUUAUUUUGAUUCAGACAAACCUCCAAUACAACCAACAUAAAGGCUUUAUACCAAUGGCAUUUUACUAAUUAUAAUUAAUAACACAAACAUUGAAAUUUGUCACUUGAAUAUUCGAAUGAAACUCAUAGGAAUUACAACAGAGUAAAAAAUAACAAGAGAACCAGAAGUAAAAAUAUUGCACAAACAAUGAAAUGACGUGACAGUUUAAUCGUCCAGUAUUUCCUUUCGCUGAAGCUCAAUAACGUUUUCGUUCAACGAGCUAAGAUUACCGUUAAUUGUCUCGUUACUAUUCCGGCACUGUUGUAGCUGUUCCCUAAGCCUUAGCACAAGCUCAUUGAGUCUCUGGAUGUUCUUCUCUUGAGAUAAGAUAAUCUGCAGAAGUAAAUUAGCAUGUUAAAGUUCACAGUAAUUGUUGCCCAGUCAUCUCAUUAUUAGGACAGCACUACUAUGAUGCAAACAAAAAGAAUUUCAAUCAAAGCUACGCCAAAAUAAAUCUGAGAGGAAAGUGCAGUCAGGUCAUUUUUGAAUGAAAAGGUGAAUUACAAAGAUCCUGUUGGCCCCCGCUCCCUUCUUGAAAGGCAUCUAAACUUGGUUUGCGUAACAAGGGCUUUCAACGACUAUUUUGUAGCACUCACACCCCACAACUUCGAUCAAUAUUUGCGCAUUUCUUAACUGCUUUAAGGCACACAAUAAGGCAUUGCAUCUGUACUGUCUGCUCAAGAAUAAUGCACGUUCUGAGCCAUAACUGAUGUGUCUUCUUGAGUCACUCGCUCAAUAUAAAUUGAGAUUAAGGUAUCAAACUAUGACGCUCUGACUCGGGUGCGGGGAUCGGAUACGGGUAUAUAUCUAGAAGUCCGAUCCUUCUUAUUAUAAAAAUUAAGAUAUGGGGAUACAGUUAAAAAGAACCUGAAUUUUGGAUAUGGGUACGGAGAUACUUCUUACAAUUUUUUUAUUUUUAAAAAUCAGAACACAAUGCCAAAAUAACAAAGAGAAAAAUGGUUCAAUUAAACUAAAUAACCACAAUAUUAAAUUAACUUGUAAACAUAAUUAACUGAUAUUGGUUGUUAAAAAAUGAACUCGCAGUUUAUUUUGUUUAUCAACUCCUACGAUAAAAUCAAUUUAAACAAUUGAAUUAUAACUCGAAAUCAAUUUAAAUUUAAAGUCAAAAUAAAUUCUUUUCCAAAAAUUUAAGAAAAAAAUCAAUUUCAAUGUCUUCUAUGUUAUUUAAAAACAAUUAUAGAAAUAAAUUUAAAUUUAAUACGAAAGAAAAGAUAUAUCACUAAUUCAUUUUAAUCACAACAUAAAAUGUUCGUAAAGAUAAAAUAUAAGAAAUAAAAAAAUUAAAUAAAAAUAAACUCAAAUUAAAUUAUACAAAAAUAAACUCAUUAACUACAUUCAUUGGACUUCUAAAACUCAUCGUCUUCCCUAAUUCAUUGUCUUCCCCAAAUCUCUCUCUUUCUUUGCAAAUUUUUCAGCUGCUAGAGAAGAAAGACACCUUCCGUCAUCUUCUGGCC
RNAcentral lists this long non-coding RNA (1612 nucleotides) under Olea europaea (common olive). Its description in RNAcentral is "long non-coding RNA (OEUR_LNC014269)". Lineage: Eukaryota; Viridiplantae; Streptophyta; Magnoliopsida; Lamiales; Oleaceae. The record is from RNAcentral.